This 429-nucleotide ribosomal RNA is filed under the name uncultured bacterium. RNAcentral's name for it is "bacterial SSU rRNA". It matches the Rfam family "Bacterial small subunit ribosomal RNA", at positions 29 to 506 of the family's 1533-position model. The record is from RNAcentral.
GUGAACGCUGGCGGUAUGGAUAAGGCAUGCAAGUCGAAUGGGUUAGACCCAUGGCAGACGAGGUAGUAACAGGUAGGAACGUCCCCGGAAGUCGGGCAUAACCAGCCGAAAGGUUGGAUAAUUCCCGAUGGUCUCGCAAGAGUAAAGAUUUAUCGCUUCCGGAGCGGCCUGCCUUGUAUCAGCUAGUUGGUGAGGUAAUGGCUCACCAAGGCUACGACGCAUAGGGGACCUGAGAGGGUGACCCCCACCGAUGAGACUGAGACACGGCUCAUACCCCUACGGGGGGCCGCAGCCGAGAAUAUUCGACAAUGGGCGCAAGCCUGAUCGAGCGAUACCGCGUGGUGGAUGAAGCGCUUCGGCGCGUAAACACCUUUUAUGGAGGAGGAAGUCAUUGACGUUACUCCAUGAAUAAGGGGCUCCUAACUCUGU